RNAcentral lists this transfer RNA (71 nucleotides) under Camelus bactrianus (Bactrian camel). It matches the Rfam family "tRNA". From Rfam's summary of the family: Transfer RNA (tRNA) molecules are approximately 80 nucleotides in length. Their secondary structure includes four short double-helical elements and three loops (D, anti-codon, and T loops). Further hydrogen bonds mediate the characteristic L-shaped molecular structure. tRNAs have two regions of fundamental functional importance: the anti-codon, which is responsible for specific mRNA codon recognition, and the 3' end, to which the tRNAs corresponding amino acid is attached (by aminoacyl-tRNA synthetases). tRNAs cope with the degeneracy of the genetic code in two manners: having more than one tRNA (with a specific anti-codon) for a particular amino acid; and 'wobble' base-pairing, i.e. permitting non-standard base-pairing at the 3rd anti-codon position. Lineage: Eukaryota; Metazoa; Chordata; Mammalia; Artiodactyla; Camelidae. The record is from Rfam by way of RNAcentral. RNAcentral also lists the same sequence under 2 other names.
AGAGUAUAGCUCAAUGGUAGAGUGUGUGCUUAGUAUGCACAAGGUCCUAGGUUCAAUCCCCAGUAACUCCA